RNAcentral lists this ribosomal RNA (429 nucleotides) under Bacillota bacterium. RNAcentral's name for it is "Firmicutes bacterium partial 16S ribosomal RNA". It matches the Rfam family "Bacterial small subunit ribosomal RNA", at positions 355 to 776 of the family's 1533-position model. The record is from RNAcentral. Lineage: Bacteria; Bacillati; Bacillota.
UGGGGAAUUUUGGACAAUGGGGGCAACCCUGAUCCAGCAAUGCCGCGUGUGUGAAGAAGGCCUUCGGGUUGUAAAGCACUUUUGUCCGGAAAGAAAACUUCGGGGCUAAUACCCCUGGAGGAUGACGGUACCGGAAGAAUAAGCACCGGCUAACUACGUGCCAGCAGCCGCGGUAAUACGUAGGGUGCGAGCGUUAAUCGGAAUUACUGGGCGUAAAGCGUGCGCAGGCGGUGCUGUAAGACCGAUGUGAAAUCCCCGGGCUUAACCUGGGAACUGCAUUGGUGACUGCAGCGCUGGAGUAUGGCAGAGGGGGGUGGAAUUCCACGUGUAGCAGUGAAAUGCGUAGAGAUGUGGAGGAACACCGAUGGCGAAGGCAGCCCCCUUGGCCAAUACUGACGCUCAUGCACGAAAGCGUGGGGAGCAAACAGG